AAAAAUGUAUGACUGUGGAUAAGAUCAGUUACUCCCUCUUCUAGCUCCUAUGGCAUUCUGUGCACUAGGGGUGUGUGUGUGUGGUGGCGGGUGUUGUAUGCAGGAAAAGGGAUGGGGACAGGAAUUACACCACUUGUCUCCCAGCCCCAAUGCCUGCUUGAGCGGAACCUGGGCUUCCUAGGGUGCCACACAGACAUCUUGGGGCAGGAGGCAAAUCCCAGCACUGUUCUCUUGGGCCAAUCCCCCUUCCUCCUAGAGCGCCAGGAGUAAGGCAGUACCUCUCCAGGUCACAGCAUCAUCUUGAGGUGUGGGCCACGGUCAGACAAAGUGGGAGGAAGAGGCAUAGAUUACAGGCUGAUGGACCUGGUCUGUAGCAGCUGGGGGAUGACAGCUGCUCUAAGCUCCUGGGGUUGGUUAGAAGCCAAAAGCUGAGGUAUCAGAAACCUUUCAGUCUGGAGCAGGAUGCAUAGGGUGAAUAUGCUGGAGCCCUGAUUUUCAAUAAGGGACACUGUGGAGAUGUGGGGGAUGUUUUUGGUCAUCACAAUAACAGGGGCCCACUCCUUAGAUGUGGACAUCAAAAAAGCAUAAGACAGUGCAAAGAUUUGUCACAUUUUACAUGGUUUCCAGUUUCUUAUCCAACAAUCAGGUAGAGGUGAAAAAUGUUUAUAAUCAUUGGAGCCUGGAACCUAACUCUAUUUUGACAAAGUAUUUUCUAUACAUACACAGUAAUUCCUAGGAAUGCAAGUAAACUGAGGAAGAGCGUACUUUGUCUUCUUAGGAAACUUAACAAAAAUCAUCUCUCCAGUACCCCUGCUGCAGGAGGCACAGUGGCCCGUUCAACACCUCACCUGUCACUGUGUGUGUAGAGCUGUCCCAUUCGCAGCAAUUCUCUCACAGAUACAAGCAUCUAAUCCCGUUGUCACCACUUUUAGGGCAGUCGCGCCCAGGCCUUUACUUACUGAAAUACAUGUGAGUUUAUUGUAUGUUGUUCUUCUUUUAUUCCUUCUUUACAUUUCAGCUAAUCCUUUAUUUUCCUUUUUAAAUUUUAUCUUCUCUCUCUUUUCAGGAUAGUAAAAUUCACAAAAAGGGAUCAGGAGUGAUCAGGUUGAGGUCAAGGUGCUAGAGAAGGCCAUGAGGUCCCUGAUGUAUUACAUGUGACCUUGCUUCUGCUCUGUGAGUGUGUCCAUGGGUAGCCUGCAGCUACCACAGCAUUAGUGGCCCCUGGGGCAGUGCUAGGGAAGGAAAGCAGCCAGGCAGAUGCUGGAAUGGGUGCUCUGGACCAGCAGGAAAGGGAAGGGCCCCCUUCCAGGUAGCAGACCACCACAGUGCACACCAUGUGUGCCCGACUAGGAAAUGGUGGGAACCCCUAUGCCAAGGAGCGGUGCACUUUGGGCACAGGAGGUGGAUUGCCCAGAUGAGGCAAGUCAACCAGUCGCAUGGUCAUGGAUACUGGUGCAAGGAAGACAUCAAGAUUCAGUUGAAGGAUAGGGACAGAAGGAGUCUGUCAAGGUGUCAGGUGCCUCUGAGAAGGGUUUUCCAGAUACAGGAUGUGAUUUGAGAGCCAGGCUGGUGAUAAAGGGGCAGGGGAGUGAUGGACUGUUGGAUGGAGAAAGCAUUUAAAGGCACAAAGGUUUUAACUAGGAGUAUUUUCCCUAGCCUCUUCAUGUGCCUUUUUUUCCCCUUUAGAUCAACAGCUUCUUCAUCUUUAAAACAAAGGUCUGGUCAACAUGAUUUCAAGAUGUCAGGCUCCAAAGUCCUGAGACCUGAAGAUGUUGUAACUUGCUCAAAAUGACAAAACUAAUUCUUUUCUUUUCUUUUCUGAGGAAGACUGGCCCUGAGCUAACAUCCGUGCCCAUCUUCCUCUAGUUUAUACAUGGGACACCUGCCGCAGCAUGGCCAAAGGUACAUGGCCAACAGGCAGUGGAGCCAGGGCUCACACCUACCAUGCUGUGCUUCAGUUCUGAGAACUCCUUUCCUGGACCAGAUGGUGAAGGAGUAUCUACCUGCAUUGCCUCUGGCAUGCCAUCCCUGUAGUGUCACUCUGGUAGCAGUCUGAGGAAUCUUAUCCUCAUGUGGGGAGACAAGACCCUAUAGGACUCCCAUUCUCCACCUGGCAAUGAACCAGGGCCCCUAGAGCACAGCCUCUGCGCAGCAGGGCCAGCCCUGCCCUCUGCAUGGAAUGCCUGGGUGCAGAACUCCCCCAUUUCCGUGUGCCUUCAAACUGAACCUCUGCAAAGAUGCCAUCUGUGACCACCCUCGGGCAUCAUGUCUAUCGUUCUCCAUCCCAGAAACCCUCUAUUUCAUCACUAUCUGCCACUAGAUUAUGAACAAACUUAAGUGUUUAUGGACUGUCCCCCAACUAGAAGGAAGUCAAAGAGGGCAAGCAUUUUGUCCACGCAUUGCUGUAACUUGAGUUCCUUGAACAGUGAUGGCACUUAAGAGGAAUCCCAUAAACAGCUGUUACUGAAUAAGCAAAAGUUUGGAGGAAAGAGGCUGACUAGUAUCACAAGCAAAACUCAAACCCUCUCCCCCCUUGGACACAGCAUCAUUUAUUUGCCGUCUAUUCUUGGUAUGUUCAAACCACUCCAGUUCAACCAUAAUCAAACACCCAGCAUGGUGUAAGGAGUUUGGGGUCUUCAGAGGUGGAAAAAAAGUGGGCUCUCACAGAUGGGCAGAGAAGUUUGUUUGAGAUAGCAAAUAAAUUCACAAGAAGCUUGACAAGACUUCACAGCACUCCUCUGGUCUGUGCAUUCAUUCUGCUUCUUCUGUACUCCUUGUCUGUGAGUCUCAGAACUUCAAGCACAGUGCACCUACCAGGAAAAUGAAACGGGUCUCGAGCACUAUCUUUUUUUUUUUUUUUUUAAAGAGUGGCACCUGAGCUAACAUCUGUUGCUGAUCUUUUUUUUUUUCCCUUCUUCUUUUCCCCAAAGCGCCCCCAGUACAUAGUUGUAUAUUCUAGUUGUAGGUCCUUCUGGUUGCCUAAAGCACCAUCUUUAACUUCACUUGAUGACGUGGUUUGUGCCAGAUUUUAGACGUACAGGAGGAAGGUGUGAACUCUUAUCCUCCAAGGACUUCUUUUUUUUUUUUAUUGAGUUAAUGAUAGGUUACAAUCUUGUGUGAUUUCAGUUGUACAUUAAUGUUUGUCAGUCAUGUUGUAGGUGCACCACUUCACCCUUUGUGCCCACCCCCCACCCCACCUUUCCCCUGGUAGCCACUAAUCUGUUCUCUUUGUCCACAUUUUUAAAUUCCUCAUAUGAGUGGAGUCAUACAGAGAUUAUCCUUCUCUAACUGGCUCAUUUCACUUAACAUAAUUCCCUCAAGGUCCAUCCAUGUUAUUGCAAAUGGAAUGAUUUUGUUCUGUUUUGCAGCUGAGUAGUAUUCCAUUGUAUAUACGUACCACAACUUCUUUACCAUUCAUCUGUUGAUGGGCACUUAGGUUGCUUCCAUGUCUUGGCUAUCGUAAAUAAUGCUGCAAUGAACACUGGGGUGCAUAGGACUUUUGGAAUUGCUGACUUCAAGUUCUUUGGAUAGAUACCCAGUAGUGGAAUGGCUGGAUCAUACGGUAGUUCUAUUUUUAAUUUUUUGAUCUUAUCCUCCAAGGACUUCUCUACACACACUCACAAAUCUCAGAGUUCAAGGACAGAGCAGUGAAUGGCACAAGGUGUUGCGUGUAUAAAUAUUUUACCCGUUAGAGAGAGAAGGCAGGAAGAGCUGGAGGAGGCAGAAACCAAGAGCCCGUUGAGGUGUCCUGUUCCUCAAUGCUGUCCUGUCCCACAGAGUGCCUUGAGAUGGACUUCUACCACCUCUGGUUCCUGCCGGGGAGUGAAGGAAGGUCCACAGAGCCUCUGCCCAUUGGAAAAGGGAAGAAUUCACACUAGUGAACACAAUCUCCCUUUAAAACUAACUCUACAAAAGUAACUGUAGAGGAUGCACUAUCCUGGGCAAGAAGUCUAGCACAUGUGGGAGGUCUGUAACUUAGAAGGCGGAGCCGGCUAGGAGACUGCUUCCGGUAACUCAGACCAAGUGCGCACAAAGGGUUUAUGUAACUGAGAAAAGUACCUUUAAAUCCCCAUACCUAUUCAAGCGCUCCCUACUUGUCUCUAUUACUUACUUCUCCGAGGCAGGAUUUGGGUCAGGUCUGUGAGUACUUGUUGGUCCAAUACACUAGAAGAGGUUUUGUACUCUCAGGGAAAAGACCCAUGUGCUUAGUGACACCAGCUUAGUAGGAAAUAUUGCCCACCCCUCAUCUUGCUGAUAGGUGACACUUCAAAAGAACAGCUUGCAAAAAACCCUCAAUUACUUUUCACGUAUGUUCUUCCUUUAGAAAACACCCAUCAGACUGGAGGAAACAAAGAUACAGCAAAUAAAUUCAGAUGUUUUAUUCUGUAAAGCACAUAUGCACAUAGUUCAAAUACGGAAAAUUAAUCUGAGAGUGAAUGCCAUAACAGAUCAGCUACUGACCAUCAUGCAGCAAGGUAAGUGAAAUGGAUCCACUGGCCCUCGCAACCCCACAGUGCCUGCAGCAGGGCUGCAGAACCAGGGUACUGAAUCCCUACAAACUGCCCGAGAGGAUGCAACGGAAAUGGCAGGUUCCUAUGACAAGAAAAACUUACAAAUAGAAUCAAAACUGAUUCAAGUCAUAGAGCGAAAGGACAAAAGGAAAAAGGAAAGAGAUCAAUAUGAUCUGAAACAAUCAUUUUAAUAGUAAGUUGCUGACCUUUUAUUGGACCUCCAGUCCAAGAUGCCUGAGGAUGAGCCAAUGGUCCCAGCAGGGUCGCCUCUGAAUGGCAAACGGGCCCUGUUCGUGAUACUCUUCUAAUCCUGAGGUCCCCCAGCAAGAUACAGCGGAGGAUCGGGCCUUGUCUGUAAAUGCCCAGACAGUAAUAGGUCCUCUGGACUUCCAGACACUCAGUGGAGUCUCUUCAGUUAUUAGACCUCUUUUGCCCAGGCCCCAGGGCCUCUCCUCUUCCCCAGCCUUCCUUUAUAUACCUGACUGACUCUGGAUUUCAGUUACAUCUUUGAGAAUUACCUAUUAGGGUGGAUGUUGGAUUUUAAAGUGUGUGUCCUGGCCUCAUGACAAGUCAUACUGUCCAGGCAUUUUUGCCACUUCCUUUCCUCAUGCCUAACAGUGUCCUUCCUCCCUGGUUACAGAUUCCAGCCACUCCCUGUAAUUCAAACAAGGGUAACUAAUAUCAGCAAAAAAGCUGGAUUGAACAAACCAGUGAAACUGACUUUCGCCUUUCUCCUUUUAUGUUACUCUCCCAGUUAUAAAUCUAUCCCUGUAGUUCUGCUUCACUGGGAUUUUAAUAAUUCAGUAGCAACUUAACCUAAAAUCUGUUCUUAAUGAUAUUGAUGUUUCUAAAAGCCAAGCCAAAUGGCUCUUUCUCAAUCUUGUCUUGUAAGAGUCUCAAAGUCUCUAAAGAGAAAACUAAAUUAACAGGUUAGCCAUGCACCAUGUAAGUAACUAAUAAUACAAAAAAACUGGAUAGACAAGUAUGAUUACUGCACUUGAAAUGUAGUAAAAGGAAGAAAGGAAUAUUAACAUACCAAGUUACUCUUGUGAUUAACAAUCAUUGAUAAAAGCCCACAACUGUUUUCCAUUCAAGAAUGCCUGGGAGGGGCCAGCCCAGUGGUGUGGUGGUUAGGUUCACACAAUCCACUUCAGUGGCCUGGGUUUCAUGAGUUCCAAUCCCAGGUGCAGACCUACACACUGCUCAUCAAGCCAUGCUGUGGCAGGGUCCCACAUGCAAAGUGGAGAAAGACUGGCACAGAUAUUAGCACAGGGCCAAUCUUCCUCACCAAAAAAAAAAAAGAAUGCCUGGGAUAAAAUUUCGUUCUAGGCCAAUAUAUUUCAGACUGCAGGACUGAUUCUGAUUUAUAACAGACUAUAGACCUGGAGUUAAGGAAAAGAAGCGCUGCCAGUCAUGCCCAAGAUUUUAAUUGCCCUUCUGCUAUAACAUUGCUUGGGAGAACACAGAAGUCAUUAAUGACAAGUUAUUAAGGCAAAGAGCUAUUAAGACACAGAAAAACAGUAAGAAUACAAGUAACAAGAAAGGACUGGAAAAGAUAACACACGAUUUUUUUAAAUGAAGAUAGAUUAGAAAGAAAAAGGGAUAAAGGAAUUAGAUUAUAGAAAUAUUAAAGGAAAGAAAAACACUUUUGGUUUUCCUGACAAACGGCAAAUGAGAAUUGCUUUCCUUCAAAUUUACAAGCAUCGUUUUCAUAAAGUCACUGACCUACUAGCUGCCAUUUUCCUUCUGAAGAUAAAUUAAUUCCAUAAAAAUAAAUACAAAAAAAAAGAGAAGGAGGAAGAAAGAAAAUCCACUCCCUCUUCAAAGAAAACAGGAAACCCUUUCAUAACUGUUAAACAAAUCAUCAUUCUC
RNAcentral lists this long non-coding RNA (6383 nucleotides) under Equus asinus (donkey). RNAcentral's name for it is "lncRNA (ENSEASG00005024595.1)". Lineage: Eukaryota; Metazoa; Chordata; Mammalia; Perissodactyla; Equidae. The record is from RNAcentral.